Coccinella septempunctata (seven-spotted ladybird) is the source of this 3446-nucleotide RNA transcript. It is a transcript of the gene named serine/threonine-protein kinase NLK, with no coding region annotated. Lineage: Eukaryota; Metazoa; Arthropoda; Insecta; Coleoptera; Coccinellidae. The record is from RefSeq and is a predicted model, not a curated record. The transcript has 10 exons.
CGUCAGUUCACUUGACUCCGUGGGAUAGGUUGUACGCGGUCCGCUUCUGCAACUUUAAUUUUUAUUUGCAAGAUUUCCUUCUUCCUCCUCGACUUUGUUUUCAUUCAUCUAUUAUUCAGGAAUCUUGAAGGACCAAUUAGUUUAGUGGUACGUCUUGGAAGGAUAGCGAGAUAUUGAUUGAAAGUGUGAUAAACUGGCUGGCAAUUUCAUAUUGAAUGUGUUUUAAGGAAUGAAAACAUAGUAAAGUUGGGAAAAUUCAUGGUUUCAAGUGACUAAUAUUUGUGUUCCCUUUUGUGUACAACUGUGGCGUUUCUGUGUGAAUAUAAUUGGAAGUUAAUUGAGCAUUGUUAUUAAAAAAAAUUUAAGGCGGACUGAGAAUUUUCGGAGCGAACAACCCGUGACAUUUUCUUGGUAUUCAGUGGCGUCGUAGGGAGACGCUCGUAAUUUCAUUCCCAUUUUCACUUACCGCAAUAAGUAUUGUUUCAACCGUGGCAGUUCUCGAGUGAUGGAAUAAGACAACCAGCGAGGUGGUUCAAUAUUUGAUGGCUGUGGUCGGUCCCAACCGCCACACAGGGGUGUCAAUGUCCGUGUCUAUGAGCUAUAUGCAGGGCACGACGGGCCCUACCGCCGGGGGCCAACAUGCUGCACAACCAUACUACCAUCCCCGACAUGCUGCAGCCCCUGCCCAUACCCAGGAGCAGGUACAACCUGACCGCCCCAUCGGUUAUGGAGCCUUCGGAGUUGUAUGGGCCGUAACAGAUCCCAGAGAUGGAAGGCGAGUAGCCCUGAAGAAACUGCCAAAUGUGUUCCAGUCCUUGGUGUCAUCGAAACGAGUGUUUAGAGAACUGAAAAUGCUGUGUUACUUCAAACAUCAAAACGUUCUUUCAGCUUUGGAUAUUCUACAGCCUCCCCACAUAGACUUUUUUCAAGAAAUAUAUGUGAUAACCGAACUACUGCAAAGCGACUUACAUAAAAUUAUAGUAUCACAUCAGCCUUUAUCACCAGACCACAUAAAAGUAUUUCUUUACCAGAUUCUCAGAGGUUUAAAGUAUUUGCAUUCAGCUAAAAUAUUACACAGGGACAUCAAACCUGGUAAUCUACUGGUCAACAGUAAUUGUGUUCUUAAGAUCUGUGAUUUCGGUUUGGCUAGGGUGGAGGAGCCAGAUAGGAAUAAAAACAUGACGCAAGAAGUUGUCACACAGUAUUACAGAGCGCCAGAAAUCUUGAUGGGAGCAAAGCAUUACACGGCUGCCGUGGACGUUUGGAGCGUUGGCUGUAUCUUUGGGGAGCUUCUAGGUAGAAGGAUACUAUUUCAGGCUCAGAAUCCAGUUCAACAGCUGGAACUCAUCACAGAACUCUUGGGUACACCCAGUUUAGAAGACAUGAAGUCUGCUUGUGAAGGUGCUAAAACUCACAUGCUCAGCAAAGCCCCAAAACCACCUGCACUUUCCGCCUUGUAUUCGCUAUCUACACAAGCAACUCAUGAAGUAGUUCAUUUGUUGUGUCAAAUGCUCGUCUUUGAUCCUGAAAAACGUAUAUCGGUGGUAGACGCCUUAGCUCAUCCCUACCUUGAUGAAGGUAGGUUAAGGUACCAUUCCUGUAUGUGUAAGUGUUGCUACACCACAGCAAGUGGAAUGAGACAGUACACAAGCGAAUUCGAGACUACAGCACCUCAGCCUUUUGAUGACACUUGGGAGAAGAAACUUACUUCUGUGCAGCAAGUAAAAGAGGAAAUGCACAAGUUUAUAGCAGAGCAGUUGAAUAACACUAGUCGAGUCCCUCUGUGUAUAAACCCACAAUCUGCGGCCUUCAAGAGUUUCGCAAGGUAAGACGGCCGCCAACGUCUCAGACCAGCGCAGCGCCAUUGCAUAGGUGACCACCGAUCACUUUACUCUUUUGGUUUCUACUGUCGCCCACCCAUCAGAGCUCCCGCCUUCCCCUCAUCAGUGGGAUGCAAAAAAUUGACGUUGGAGGCCUAGUAGAUAACAAAAUUUCUUGUAUAUUACUCCAUUUUCUUCUAUUCCUCUAAUCGAACAUCAUUGAAACGUAAUAGGAUGGGGAUUGCUCAUCAAACUAGAUAGAACAGGAAGUCGAAACAUUACACCAAAUAUUUUAUCAGGGAUUCCAUGCAAUGCAAAACUUAAUGGACAAUCGCGCUGCAACUAUUAAUUAUAUGUGUAUUUGUCGUGUAAAUUUUAGUAGCUCAAAGUGUGAUUCUAUAAUAGUACCAAUCUGACAAUUUAAACUGUAGAUCUGUUGGUUAGAAAACAGUGUACAGAUUUAAUCACUGCCUUGAUUUAUGUAGCUCCUUAGUAUAUUUAAGUUAUUUCAGACUGGCAGUUUAUUAUAGUCAAGUUGAUCAAAAACUAGAGGUUUACAUUAAAAUUGCGUUGAUAUAUCUUAAUGUUUAAACUCUCUACUAAUUUUGAUAUAGAUAGAUUAAUUUUUAUAUUUUUAUGAAAAUCAAACAAAAAAAUCAAAAAUGAGAAAAAAUCAAUAUCAUGAUUGAAGUUCGAAAACAAUUUCAGUAAAAUGUACAUAAAUAAAGGAACACUGGUUUCACGGGUAAAAAUAAUUGGCUGAUAAUCAAUUUAUCUGUACAUUACUAUAUCAGCCUUUUUUGGGUUCUUGUAUUCAAAAAUUUCUUAUCGAUUCAUACAAGAUUUAGGCCCAUAAUUAUUCAUAUUAGUAAUGAAAUAUAUCUUAUUUCAAAUGAACAAUUGGAUAACUGAGUAUGAAUUAUUUAGUAUUUUUAAAACAAAAUUUUGUCUGUAGAAUCUUUUGAUCAGCUUGUCUGCGCUGUAACCUGAUAUUUAUCCUUAAUUUAAGACUUUCAAGAAGACUGGAAACAUUGAACUACAUACCUGCAAAAAGUGCAGCUCUUCUAUUGCGAACAUUUUUUUUUAGUGAAUUCCAAUGACAGGGUUGCCAAAUCGUAGUCAGAUACAUAGCGUAUUCUGUGUGAAUUAAUUAAGUGUGCAAUGAGUCUAGUACGGACUUGAUUUGAAUCCAAAGUGUUCAUGUCAAUCUGAAGUUCACUUUCCGGUUUUGUGGUAUUUCAAUGAUUUGAUGUAAAUAUUGUUUUUAAGAUUCGUCUGUAACAUCGUGAUAACCACAUUUUAUUGAUUAAUAUGAAAGGCUUGUAAAUUAAACAUUGAUAAAAAUUUCUACUUGGCUUUUGCGUUGUUACAGUAGAUCGGUCGAUGUAUCUCCAAAUAUGUCGUUAAAAAAGGAAAAAAAAUGUAAAUUGUUCUGUAUAUAUUGAACAUUUCGUAGAAAAUGGUAUGCCUUCGAAAGUGAAUGACUUAUAUAACCUCAACUGAGUGUCAUUUCUUUGCAGAUAAUGUGAGACCAAUAACUUAGUGACGUUUGCAAAUUAGUGAAUUCAAAUUCACCUAACAAUUUGAAUGUAAAUAUUUGAAUUAAAACUGAAGUUUUACCUUUCA